RNAcentral lists this ribosomal RNA (451 nucleotides) under uncultured bacterium. RNAcentral's name for it is "bacterial SSU rRNA". It matches the Rfam family "Bacterial small subunit ribosomal RNA", at positions 58 to 507 of the family's 1533-position model. The record is from RNAcentral.
CAAGUCGAACGGUAACAGGUCUUCGGACGCUGACGAGUGGCGCACGGGUGAGGAACACGUACACAAUCUACCUUAUACUGGAGAAUAGCCCCGGGAAACUGGGAUUAAUACUCCAUAGUCUUUAAUGAUCACAUGAGAAAUAAAGUAAAGCUUCGGCGGUAUAAGAUGAGUGUGCGUCCCAUUAGAUUGUUGGUGAGGUAACGGCUCACCAAGUCGACGAUGGGUAGCUGGCGUGAGAGCGCGACCAGCCACACUGGCACUGAGACACGGGCCAGACUCCUACGGGAGGCAGCAGUAGGGAAUAUUGGUCAAUGGACGAAAGUCUGAACCAGCCAUGCCGCGUGGAGGAUGACUGCCCUCUGGGUUGUAAACUCCUUUUAUAUGGGAAGAAACCUCUGGAUUCACUCCAGAGCUGACGGUAUCAUAUGAAUAAGCACCGGCUAACUCCGUG